This 460-nucleotide ribosomal RNA is filed under the name uncultured bacterium. RNAcentral's name for it is "partial 16S ribosomal RNA". It matches the Rfam family "Bacterial small subunit ribosomal RNA", at positions 338 to 795 of the family's 1533-position model. The record is from RNAcentral.
CCUACGGGAGGCAGCAGUGAGGAAUAUUGGUCAAUGGGCGCGAGCCUGAACCAGCCAAGUAGCGUGAAGGAUGACUGCCCUACGGGUUGUAAACUUCUUUUAUAAAGGAAUAAAGUGCGGCACGUGUGCCUUUUUGUAUGUACUUUAUGAAUAAGGAUCGGCUAACUCCGUGCCAGCAGCCGCGGUAAUACGGAGGAUCCGAGCGUUAUCCGGAUUUAUUGGGUUUAAAGGGAGCGUAGGUGGGUUGUUAAGUCAGUGGUGAAAGGUUGGGGCUCAACCGUAAAAUUGCAAUUGAUACUGGCAGUCUUGAGUACAGUUGAGGUAGGCGGAAUGCGUGGUGUAGCGGUGAAAUGCUUAGAUAUCACGAAGAACUCCGAUUGCGAAGGCAGCUUACUAAACUGCCACUGACAUUGAGGCUCGAAAGCGUGGGUAUCAAACAGGAUUAGAUACCCCUGUAGUC